AGCUAUGCUUGAGAUUCGCCAUAAAACUACGACGGAGGAAACGAGACGGUCUUUUCCGGUUUGGACAGAGAAGGAGUGCGGCAGCUCAGACAUCAUGGCCCCAGAGACCAGGCUCCUCAGAAGAUGGAUGAUCACUCGCAGGUUCAUGAGAUGUUUGCCAGGUUCAGUUAGCUUUCUUGGACGGUGGUGUAAUCCUGAGUGAGAAGUGCGCUGGCUCCAUUUUCCUUUCUCCUUGUGAGCCUGAUAACAGCAGCUGAUGACUACAGGAGAGUUCACUCGCUGAAGCUCCUGCAGAUGCUGAUGAAUGCUGUCAUUGACGGCACUGUAUGGAGCGGUGAACACUCCUGACUGAAGCGCCAUUGGAGUAUCAUCAGCCUCCACAGCACCACUGAAGAUGAGCGGGAAAGUGUGAAGCCCAACUGUUAAACGUGUUUCUGUUUCUUCAGAAAUGUGCAGUUGUGGUCUAAGCUGCACUCCUUUGUGUAAUAUACUGCCAUCACAUGAUGACUGGCCUGUUAUGCUUUUAAAGGACUGCUGAAUAAGUGUAUUGCAUCUAAACCUCAUGUAAGUGUUGUCACAGAUCUGCCAGGUUCAGUCUCCACCCAAUCCCAGCAAUCCAGCUCUCCUGAAUAUUAAUCAGUCACACCUGCACUUAAUCAGCCACUCAGCACCGUCACUACUUUAAUGCACACCACAGUUCACCCAGCGUCCGAGCUUAUACUCAUAAAGAGGACUUUGCUCCUGCAAAAAGACCCCAUCGUCUCCUCUGGUCCUGUCGUUGUUAUGGUGUGUAACAUCAUUCUCUGGAAAAGAUGAGGACUGUGUUCAGCUUAGAUGCAUCUCCUGCUUCUGACUGUCUGCCAUUUAUCAUACUGACCUGUUCCAUCUGCAAAGUUCUCUUUAUGCUCUUGUGUAAAUAAACCUUGUCAACAUUUUACCUACA
This is a long non-coding RNA of Puntigrus tetrazona (Sumatra barb), 943 nucleotides long. RefSeq lists it as uncharacterized. The record is from RefSeq and is a predicted model, not a curated record. The transcript has 5 exons. Lineage: Eukaryota; Metazoa; Chordata; Actinopteri; Cypriniformes; Cyprinidae.